This is a long non-coding RNA of Harpia harpyja (harpy eagle), 4518 nucleotides long. RefSeq lists it as uncharacterized. NCBI's taxonomy places the organism in Eukaryota, Metazoa, Chordata, Aves, Accipitriformes, Accipitridae. The record is from RefSeq and is a predicted model, not a curated record. The transcript has 2 exons.
AAAGGAGGCGGCUCUCGGUUGCUCUGCCAGUGUAAUGAUGGUGCUCACACAUGUAGGACUCCUCGGGUGCGGGGUAUCCUUUGGUCUCUGGGCUAAACUGGCUACAAGGCAUUCAAAAACACCGCCGCAGACGCAGGCGAAGCCGGGAGAAGACUGUUGUUUAAAAGCAGCGCGCUGAAGGAUGCUUGUCUUGCCAAAACCUUUCCUGGCAUCUGUAAAAUCUGAGAGGACAAGCUGGCACAAUGGGCGGAGAAAAGCAGGACUUAGAGAUAACCCAGGGAGGCCUGAGACUUUUUGUUGGCCACGGGGCCCGUAAAUUAUCUUGGCAGCCCCAUUUUAGUGUUAGAGGAGCGCGGGACUCCCGUCCAUCACAGGAUCUGGAGGAGAGGCAGUAACAAAGGAACUGCUGUGCAGAAGGGAAGCGAGGGGAACCUCGCUGAACCCUCACCCAGCAGGCUUUAUGAGAUGUAACAUUACUUUAAUGUGCCAUUAUAUCUCCAUUUAGAAAAAGGGUCAUAACAUAGAUGGGGCUGCACUGCUAAACAAUUCUGUCAGAUAAUUGUUCUCAAACCAACCUCCUGCUGAGGGUCUCGGUAACUUCCAUAUCACACUGAUACCGUGCUACGCCUAAAUCCCAAGUAAGCUCACAAAGCAAGGGGGGGAAGGAGGAAGCGAUGUAGUCAGGAGUGGUGAUACAGACAUUUGUAGCAUGGAUGAGUGAAAUGCUUGAAAUAAUAUCGCAGGAGCACUUUAGUGUAUCAGAAAAUAAUUCCUUAUCCAGGAGUACCGCUUUGGAUCAUGUAAAGAGCCAUAUGCCUUCUCAGCAGAGACAAAUUCCUAAAUUCAGCUGAGUUUGGAUCGUGCCUUAGAAAAACCAGAAAUAACUCAUUAUUUUUUCAAACUGUUUAAUGACAGGAGAGAAACAAAAGUGGAUGGAAACCAACUGUGGUGUGGAGUGGGGAUGGAGUGUAGAAACUAGCAUAAUAUUUAACUCAGCUGGAUUUGUUUCUUUGGUUUACAGUUAGGAUGUUUGAUUUGCGUUGGUGAAAGGUAUGGAUGUUUUAUUACUGCUUCCAUUCAAUUACGUGGGCAAAAGUCCUAGGAGCAUCCUGGAGCUCCACCGUGCCAGGCAAUGGAUCAGCACAGGACACAAAAAUGAUGCUUACCGUGAAGAAUUUGUGAUCUAAAUACGGUCAAUUGCAUGGUACACGACUUCACUUUCAUAUAAAUGUACAUUAUAGAAUAUAUCUGCAUAACCUGUACUCAUUACAUACAUCCAUAUAUAUAUAUAUGUCUAUAGUAAUUUCAGCAGAAUUAUACGAUGAGUUUAGAAUGCAAAUUUUUAAUUUCCAAUUUUUAAAUCAUCUGAGACUCUGAAAUUAGAACUAUGAGAUUAUGUUUAAAUAAGGAAAAUUGCAUGAGGUUAGGUUCACCGUUUCGGUUUUAUGGUAUCAGAAUUUACAGGGUUUAAUAACGCAGACAGGGAUCUCCUUGCAAUGAAAAGGGCUUGCACAGAUCCUCCUUCUGUCAAGGCUUCUAGUGACAGCCCAUUACUCAGCUGAACUUGAAGAAUCUCCCCUAGCAUCCUUGAAGGAAAGGGGUUGUGUCGGUUUUUCGGUGCCACGGGCUGAGGCUCUUCUGCAUGCUGCAGAACUCACUCACCUUUGUCAGAAAACGAAAGUUUCUGUCCUCUGGUUUGGAGACAGCCUUCCUAUGGCAAAUCUGUGCCUUGCUGGAUUGUUUGCUCUGCAGCCAGCCCGAAACAAUACAACACCAACAGAUGUGUGAACUUUUCCAUUCAGUGUAAUGAAGUGUUAGCUGCAAAACAGAGUUUUGGCAAUUUAAAUUGCCUCAUGUGCAUCAGGCUGUGAAAGAGGUUUGAAAUAAAUCAUGAAUAAGUUAUAAAUAUUGUAUUUUUGGAAUUAUCAGCUCUAACGAGUCCACUGGCAAUAGAAAGUGAAGACUUAGGCAGAAUGGGGCCUAAUGUCUCUCAUUAAAGUUACCAGUGUUUCUAGAUGAAAUUGCAGCAUUGUGGUGACGUAGCACUGAGUCCAUGGAAAAAGCUGAGAAGACACUUUUCAAGUUUUUAAAACUUGAUGAAGAAAAGAGGAGGCUUUUGGCUGAAAUCUGUCAUCCGACUUCUGCCAAAGAGGAGCGUUUAGAAAAUGUGCACCAUAAUAUUUCAGCACAGUGCUUGUUAUGGAGUUACUGGAUGGUUAAGAGUAGCCUUUGAGGGUAAGAAUUUUCUGUCUCUUGUUUUUUUCUUCACCGACAUAGUUAGAAAAAUGAUUUUGACACUUCUAACUUGCCAUGUCCAUGAGUUACGAGGGAAAGUCUGCGUUCUGUGCAGACUGAAAAUCUUCUGUGCUGAACUGAGAGAAGAUGCGCUGUGGAAUAAAGAAACUGCAACUCCAAAUUAUUUAUUUUAAACUGCAUACCUGCUAGCGCUUUUCCUGUUUGCAGGAGACAAUUUCAGUGGAAGUCUUCUCAUGCCCUUUCCAGCCUGGUGAUGGCAGUACCAAUGAGUGAUGGCAGCCCUGCCGCUUGUGAAGGCAGAAUUCAGUGUUCACGCACUGCAUGAGCUUGUCUGCACUGUCUUCCUUUAGUUUCGGGUACAUGACAAAAUCCCCGAGCGGUCGGAUGAUCAGUCACCUCAUUACACUUGAGGAGGUAGGACUCUUGCCGUGACAUGGCUUCCACAAGGAGAAAAUAGUCACCGUUCCACCUACUAAUAUUACUGGCAAAGGACCACUCUAGAAAGUUGUUCUUAAUGAUAACUUCAAGGCAUUUGCUGCUUAGAAGAUCAGAAACUAGGGAGGUCGAGACUUGGUGGUCUUAAUGUAUGAAAACUGCAAGCAAAUGAACACCUCCUGGUUUUUGAUUUAUCUACUGAGUGAGCUAUCAUGAAGCAAAGCCUAAACUAUUCAUUGUUGUCAAAUAUAAAUGUUUCCUACAGAUUCUCUAUUGUUUCCAAUUCCAAUCUUCUUCUCUAUUUUUUUCAGUAGGUUUUGGUGAGUUACUGCUGAGUUUGGAAAAUUAAGAGGGCGUAGACCAAGGCAAUGACUCGGGGAUGGAUUAUAAGAACAUACUAGGCUGCUAAACCUUUGGGGGAAAGAGGCUGUAUGUUCCUGGGUUUAUAAAGAAAUGGGAGAAUGGUGCCAUAAUUCUGGCUGGGAACUUUUCACAUAGAGUGAUGUUGAUGACCCUAAUGAGAAUAAUAUUGGGAUAUAUUCCAUCUUUGCCUUUUAACGAUCUUGUUUGUAGACAUUUGGAAUUUCGUAUGGAAAAUACUCAAACUCACUUGCCCUUAACUGCAGUUAGAAAAAUUCAGACUCGGCUUCGUUCUACAAAGCUGCUUUGCUUUAAGUAGCAGUUCUGCAAAACAUAACUUCACAUAUUUCUUUUACUCUAUGCUUUAUUACUGAGAAUAUUUGCAUGAAAACAGGGUCUUUGUUUAAAAGUUCCUGCUUUUUAUUCAUCACAGCUCGUUGGGUUGGAAGCAAUGACGAUACCCUUUACAGAAGGCUCCGAUCCCUUCAGAGCAGGAAAAUAUAAGCAGGAAUAGACAAACUUUCAAGAAUCUAAGCUCUUGUUUUCAUGCAAAUGACCUCAUUUCCUUAGUAAUAAAGAAAGGAAAAGGGAUUAAAUAUGUAACAUACAGUGGAAAAAAAAGAAUGUUUCAAAUGUGUUAAGGUUUGUAUAUGGGCAUCGAAUGUUUUUUAAUGUUAUAAUGAUGCCUUACAUUCAACUUUGCUUGCUUUUAUCCUAAAGGAGAAGGUGUGCACAAAGGAUUUUUUUUGUGUGUGUGUGUAGGAUUUUUUAUUCUUUCUACAGGUAACGUAUCUUUCUCAGCUAGAGCAACACUAAUAUAAACCAGCUACUGGAAUAUCACCCAGUGUGUUGCCUAAGCCAAGCCAGGACUAACAAGGCAGUUCUGAAAAUGCUAGCAGCUUAUCUCUCUUAGCAUUCUCAACUUUAUUGCCAUGGAGGAAGAUGUGAUAAUUGGAAAUUUUUCCAGAAAGUUCCAGAUACGGCUCUACAGCCGUUGUGUCAGGCACGACUAGACAAAGCCAAGAGCAGAGCAGAGUGUGGUUAACCAGCUGGCACUGUCCUCCUUGCAACAGCAGGAAACUGUGGAGGAAGAAAAAAGAAGAGGAUUACUCAAUCUGAAAUAUUUGGCAGAAUACAACAUUAAUCCCUCCCCAGUAUAAAAGAUCAUCCAAAUUUUACUUUUGCAUAUGAUGUAAAAGAAAAAUGCAAAUUUUACUUUUGCAUCAGCAGCAUAGGGCCCUCCCACCACUUCACAACAUUAAAGGGAUUGCUAGCUAAAGACCAAGAUGGAAGAAAUGAGUGUCAGCUCAUGUUGCAGAUACUACUUCCUUCACUAUUUUAUCUUUUUUAGCUCCUUGACCUAAUUGAUCUUGCUUCACAGGUGAAAUUUGUUCAAAGUACUUCCCAAAUUUCUGCCACGGUAGUUUUAAUAUAAGCCAGCCAUGCUCUUUAAAGGAAAACACCAUG